Molecule: long non-coding RNA, 1384 nt
Organism: Alligator mississippiensis (American alligator)
Lineage: Eukaryota; Metazoa; Chordata; Crocodylia; Alligatoridae
Exons: 5
Source: RefSeq, a predicted model, not a curated record
AUGUCCCAGUAUGUCUUGUUGUGCAAUUCAUAUUUAAACUAGCUUCCCAUUGACCUAAUUUCUUUUUUACUUUUAGGGCAACUUUGAAGUGGUGAGAAAGCUGCCCUACUAGAUCCCACUACAACAAGGAUAUUUGAACAGUUAUCUAAUUUCACUAUUGAGGUGGUGGGAGGAUGAACUGGGAUGAAACAGUUCAUGUGGACUUUCACUUAUAGAUCUUGAUUUUGUGAUCAAUAGGAGUAUUGAUCUAGUGGAGCUAGACUGUUCUCAAUGGUGGCAGAUGACAAAACAAGGAACAAUGGUUUCAAAUUGCAGCAAGGUUGGUCGGGACUCACUCUCCGAAACAUCUUUGCUGCAGCCAUUUAUCAUGCACAGCAGAGAAAACAAGGUCCUCAGGGCAGGAUCUGCGUAGAAGGCGGACAGCUUUACAACACGCUUUUAAUCUAGGCUAAUGGAAUCUAGCAAGUAUGAACGGGUGCACUUUCUAAUAUUAAAUAGAAAUGUUAAAAGAACAAAAUAAAUAACGGAAUAUGGCCCAUUUCAAUGUGCCUGUAAGUAAUCCUGGCUUGGAAUUUGCACAUCCUGGAUGAGAUCAAAAGAACAAAAGACCUCUCUGCUCAGCAUAAACAUUAAAACCCUGGAGCAUUUUUCAUGAGAAAGUGUUUGGCACAGAGUGGUGAUUACUAUUUGGUUGCUGUCCUCUACCGCAGAUUUUGUUGCCAUUUACUGGCACCAUGUGCAGUUUGUAUAAAGCAAGGACAAAGCUCCAGCUGACUUCAAUGGAAUCCUGCUGACUUCUACAGAAUCAAGACCAUGUUAUGAAUUUCACUACUUCAGAACAACAACAGAGUCCUGAGACCCACUUAGGUCAAGUAUCCUGAACAGUCACAGGUAAAUUUGCAGCAGGGGGAACCUUUCUUCCUAGGUCAUGGGGAGAAAGGAAUGAUUCUCAAGGUAUAUUGAUGUCUAGUGUCCUUAGUCUCAACCUGCAAAUGCCCUACCUUUAGCUGUACUCUACAAUUAGACAUAUGGCAUGUGUUGUAGAGCAUGCAUUGUACAGAAGAUUCCCCAUGCAUCCAUCUUCCCCAAUACCGUGGAGGCAUAUUUCUGCUGACAGGGAGAAAAAAAAUGUGCAGAGCUGAUGAGGAGUCUUCUUUUUUCUUUUUAAUCUUUUUUUGUGAAAUUCAGAUUAUUCUGUAAUUUUACCUUGGUAUUACAAGUUUUCAACAUAAGGCAAAUUAUGUUUACAAGUCAUAUAUAAAAAUGUUGACUGCUGUGUUACACAGCUAGUAAAAUGUUUAAGAAUGCUUCUUCUGGUUUUACAGCUUUUUGAUACUGUAUUAUUAUGGAGAAUACUUAAAUACAAAUAUGAAUGGUCACCAUG